AGCAGCCGCGGUAAUUCCAGCUCCAAUAGCGUAUAUUAAAGUUGUUGCAGUUAAAAAGCUCGUAGUUGAAUUUUAGGCCUGGCCGGGCGGUCCGUCUUUGGCGAGUACUGUUCUGUGUCGGGUCUUACCUUCUGGUGAACCGGCAUGUUCUUUAUUGAGUGUACCGGGGAGCCAGGACCAUUACCUUGAAAAAUUAGAGUGUUUAAAGCAGGCAUUUGCUUGAAUAGAUUAGCAUGGAAUAAUAGAAUAGGACGUUGGUUCUAUUUUGUUGGUCUAGGACCACCGUAAUGAUUAAUAGGGAUAGUUGGGGGCAUUAGUAUUCAAUUGUCAGAGGUGAAAUUCUUGGAUUUAUUGAAGACUAACUAUUGCGAAAGCAUUUGCCAAGGAUGUUUUCAUUAAUCAAGAACGAAAGUUAGGGGAUCGAAGACGAUCAGAUACCGUCGUAGUCUU
RNAcentral lists this ribosomal RNA (450 nucleotides) under uncultured Archaeospora. RNAcentral describes it as "SSU rRNA". It matches the Rfam family "Eukaryotic small subunit ribosomal RNA", at positions 569 to 1027 of the family's 1831-position model. The record is from RNAcentral. Lineage: Eukaryota; Fungi; Glomeromycota; Glomeromycetes; Archaeosporales; Archaeosporaceae.